Erinaceus europaeus (western European hedgehog) is the source of this 715-nucleotide long non-coding RNA. RefSeq lists it as uncharacterized. The transcript is spliced from 3 exons. The record is from RefSeq and is a predicted model, not a curated record. Lineage: Eukaryota; Metazoa; Chordata; Mammalia; Eulipotyphla; Erinaceidae.
CAGCAGCAUGUCCCUGUGCCCACGAGGAAACACCCCCACUCUCAGAAUUCUCAGUUUUCAAGCAAUCACACCUCACAAGGCUGGAACCCUCCAGUGACCUAGGAAAGAAAUUGUGGCCACAGAGGCAAUUCCAGAAAGUGGCCUGCAGACUCUGCUGUGUACCUCACACCGCUCCACAGGGAAGGACUCACUGGGUGACAGUCCCUGUCGAGAUGUCCCAGUGAAAGGCUAAUCGGCCAUGAGACCAAGUGGGUCAUUCGGUCCCACUCUGUGCAGAUGGGCAGGGAUCCUGUCUGGGGGUAUGGAUUGACCUGCCAAUGCCCAUGUCCAGCGGAGAAGCAAUUACAGAAGCCAGAACUCCCACCUUCUGCACCCCAAAAAACAAUUCUGGUCUAUACUCCCAGGGGGAUUAAAAAUUAAGGAAGCUUCCAAUGGAGGGGAUGGUAUACAGAACUCUGGUGGUAGGAGCUGGAUGGAAUUUCACCCCUAUUACAGUGAUAUCCCUUACAACCUUGUAAAUCAACACAAAAUCACUAAUAAAAAAAUAAAACAUUUAAAAAAAGAGUUUUUGGGAGCCGGGCGGUAGCGCAGCAGGUUAAGUGCACAUGGCAAGAAGUGCAAGCGACCUGCAUCAGGAUACUGGUUCGAGCCUCAGGCUACCCACCUGUGGGGGAGUCGCUUCACAGGCGCUGAAGCAGGUCUGCAGGUGUCUAUC